This 256-nucleotide ribosomal RNA is filed under the name uncultured bacterium. RNAcentral's name for it is "partial 16S ribosomal RNA". It matches the Rfam family "Bacterial small subunit ribosomal RNA", at positions 74 to 334 of the family's 1533-position model. The record is from RNAcentral.
CAAUAUAAGUGAUGGCGACCGGCGCACGGGUGAGUAACACGUAUCCAACCUGCCGAUAACUCGGGGAUAGCCUUUCGAAAGAAAGAUUAAUACCCGAUGGUAUAAUAAAACCGCAUGGUUUAAUUAUUAAAGAAUUUCGGUUAUCGAUGGGGAUGCGUUCCAUUAGGCAGUUGGUGAGGUAACGGCUCACCAAACCUUCGAUGGAUAGGGGUUCUGAGAGGAAGGUCCCCCACAUUGGAACUGAGACACGGUCCAA